GAUGAACGCUGGCGGCGUGCCUAAUACAUGCAAGUCGAGCGAACAGACGAGGAGCUUGCUCCUCUGACGUUAGCGGCGGACGGGUGAGUAACACGUGGAUAACCUACCUAUAAGACUGGGAUAACUUCGGGAAACCGGAGCUAAUACCGGAUAAUAUAUUGAACCGCAUGGUUCAAUAGUGAAAGACGGUUUUGCUGUCACUUAUAGAUGGAUCCGCGCCGCAUUAGCUAGUUGGUAAGGUAACGGCUUACCAAGGCAACGAUGCGCAGCCGACCUGAGAGGGUGAUCGGUCACACUGGAACUGAGACACGGUCCAGACUCCUACGGGAGGCAGCAGUAGGGAAUCUUCCGCAAUGGGCGAAAGCUUGACGGAGCAACGCCGCGUGAGUGAUGAAGGUCUUCGGAUCGUAAAACUCUGUUAUUAGGGAAGAACAAAUGUGUAAGUAACUAUGCACGUCUUGACGGUACCUAAUCAGAAAGCCACGGCUAACUACGUG
RNAcentral lists this ribosomal RNA (497 nucleotides) under uncultured bacterium. Its description in RNAcentral is "partial 16S ribosomal RNA". It matches the Rfam family "Bacterial small subunit ribosomal RNA", at positions 28 to 507 of the family's 1533-position model. The record is from RNAcentral.